RNAcentral lists this ribosomal RNA (253 nucleotides) under uncultured bacterium. RNAcentral describes it as "partial 16S ribosomal RNA". It matches the Rfam family "Bacterial small subunit ribosomal RNA", at positions 524 to 776 of the family's 1533-position model. The record is from RNAcentral.
UACGGAGGGUGCGAGCGUUGUCCGGAAUCACUGGGCGUAAAGGGCGCGUAGGCGGCAGGCCAAGCGUGCGGUGAAAGUCCGGGGCUCAACCUGGGAACUGCAGUCGAAACUGCAAAGCUUGAAUGUUGGAGAGGUUGGGGGAAUACCUAGUGGAGAAGUGAAAUUCGUAGAGAUUAGGUGGAACACCAGAGGCGAAGGCGCCUGACUGGCCAAACAUUGACGCUGAGGCGCGAAAGCGUGGGUAGCAAACAGG